Molecule: ribosomal RNA, 465 nt
Filed under: uncultured bacterium
Lineage: Bacteria
Description: partial 16S ribosomal RNA
Rfam family: Bacterial small subunit ribosomal RNA
Source: RNAcentral
CUACGGGAUGCUGCAGUGAGGAAUAUUGCGCAAUGGGGGAAACCCUGACGCAGCGACGCCGCGUGUGUGAAGAAGGCCUGCGGGUUGUAAAGCACUUUCGGUUGGGAGGACUGCUUCUAGCACUAAUAUUGUUGGAAGUUGACGUUACCUUCAGAAGAAGCACCGGCUAACUCCGUGCCAGCAGUCGCGGUAAUACGGGGGGUGCAAGCGUUAAUCGGAAUUACUGGGCGUAAAGCGCGCGUAGGCGGCGAGAUCAGUCGGGUGUGAAAGCCCCGGGCUUAACCUGGGAACUGCAUCCGAUACUGUCUAGCUUGAGUACAGGAGAGGAGAGUGGAAUUCCACAUGUAGCGGUGAAAUGCGUAGAUAUGUGGAGGAACACCAAUGGCGAAGGCAGCUCUCUGGCCUGAUACUGACGCUGAGGUGCGAAAGCGUGGGGAGCAAACAGGAUUAGAUACCCGCGUAGUC